GAGGGUAUAGCUCAACAGUAGAGGGUGUGCUUAACACACACGGGGUCCUGGGUUCAACCCCCAGUACCUCUG
RNAcentral lists this transfer RNA (72 nucleotides) under Camelus bactrianus (Bactrian camel). It matches the Rfam family "tRNA". Rfam says of the family: Transfer RNA (tRNA) molecules are approximately 80 nucleotides in length. RNAcentral also lists the same sequence under 2 other names. The record is from Rfam by way of RNAcentral. Lineage: Eukaryota; Metazoa; Chordata; Mammalia; Artiodactyla; Camelidae.